AUUUUAGUGGCGGACGGGUGAGUAACACGUUGGUACCUACCCUCUAGUGGGGAAUAACUUCGAGAAAUCGAGGCUAAUACCGCAUAAUAUCUACGGAUUAAAGCAUUUAUGCGCUAGAGGAGGGGCCUGCGUCUGAUUAGCUUGUUGGUGAGGUAAAAGCUCACCAAGGCGACGAUCAGUAGCUGGAUCGAGAGGUUGACCAGCCACACUGGGACUGAGAUACGGCCCAGACUCCUACGGGAGGCAGCAGUAAGGAAUCUUCCACAAUGGGCGAAAGCCUGAUGGAGCAAUGCCGCGUGCAGGAUGACGGCCUUCGGGUUGUAAACUGCUUUUAUAUGGGAAGAUUAUGACGGUACCAUAUGAAUAAGGACCGGCUAACUACGUG
RNAcentral lists this ribosomal RNA (385 nucleotides) under uncultured bacterium. Its description in RNAcentral is "bacterial SSU rRNA". It matches the Rfam family "Bacterial small subunit ribosomal RNA", at positions 89 to 507 of the family's 1533-position model. The record is from RNAcentral.